Neoarius graeffei (lesser salmon catfish) is the source of this 2972-nucleotide long non-coding RNA. RefSeq lists it as uncharacterized. The record is from RefSeq and is a predicted model, not a curated record. Lineage: Eukaryota; Metazoa; Chordata; Actinopteri; Siluriformes; Ariidae. The transcript is spliced from 3 exons.
GAUAUCCGCGGCUGCCUUGUUAGCGCCUUCCUGGUUGUUGUAGUCGCUCGGCGGGUAAUUGCCAUAUCCGCGGCUGGAGCUCGGCGAGGUUAAGAGUUGAUUUAGAGUCGGUGUGGACGUGGCCUGUGGAUUUGCAAUAUUAUAGCGCUGAUUAUUGUAGGACGCGGCCAUAGUCGGAGAUCCUCCCGCUUGCUGCUGCUGCUUAGCCGCCUGAGCCGGAGCGCUGCGCGGCGAGUUGAUGGCGUAACCCGGGCUCGGAUACGGCGCUCGGUUGGGAAAUUGUCCGUAGCUGUUGAACUGAUGGUUUGGAAACCCGUGGUCGUGUGAGUUCGGUCCAUAAGGCUCCAUCAUGUUGCUGGCCGCCGCGGCUGCCAUGCCAGGGCUUUGUUGUCCGCCAUGUUGAUGAAAAGGGCCCCGUGCGUAGUGGUGAGCGUAGCCGUAGGACGGCGGCGGAAAACCGGACCCGUGGUGCUGAUGAGCCAUGCCCGGGUGGUUAUUCGCUUCGGGUCCGGCGGGAUCAUUUUGAUUAUUGGUGAGCCGCGGAGGAUUGCCGUUGCCGUUCUUCAUCUCAGACUCCCCUCCUCCUCCUCCUCCUCCCGUAGCAUUGCCAGGCUCGGGCCGCUCGUGCAGCUCGCCGCGACCCGGUGAUCCGAUCUCUGAUCCCGGCUCCUUAUUUUCCUGCUGCUUCUCGGCCGGUACCGACUCCUCCUUUGGGUCUCGGUCCGCUUUUUUCAGCUCGGAAGGCGGGCUGCUGUUGAGAGAGGUAGCGCUGGCGACCUGAGCGGCCAUGAUAACCCCCCUCUCUCUCUCUCUCCCUCUCGGCGAGUCAAGUCACAAUCGAACGCUAAACAUUGAAACGUAAAUACAACAGUUUUACAACCAUUUGCCCGUAUCUCGAGUCAUCCCCACCCCUUACCGCCGGACCGAAUCCGGACUGCACCGUUUGCACUGCUUUUCAGAAGCACUCUGAACAGUAAACUGUGUUCCCAGGGAAUGAAUUUAACCGACACGGAAUUUGUGGGGGUUUCUAUUACAGAACUAGACUACAGCGGAGGAACGGAUCACACCAGCACGAGGCUCAUACAGCCAUUUUACCGACACACACUGCAACAAGGAAAACCCGGACUGGAUCAUCGUCACAGUGCGGAAUGGGCUCGUUUGACGGGGAAGGGGGAGCUUGACGUUGCAUAACAGCAAGAAAAACACUUUUUUUUAGCAAUACAUAAAGUGACAUGCAAAAAUAUUUAAUCUGUAAUGCAUAUUUUGUAUUUUUGACUACUAACCCAACAGGUCGUUUGUAAAAAAAAAAAUCCUUUUGAUUUUAUUAAAUCUUUUUACAAAUUCAGUCCUAUUUUAACGUUUUACGCAGGGCUUACACUUUUGUUGACCAGUUUAGUGUUAUUGCGGCCAAACACGGCGGAACAGACUCAGAAAUAUUAAUUUAAAUCUCAUAGUGUGACCGCCCUGUAAACAAACCAUGUUAAUAGACAAGGAGAAAGAAUCCUUAUUUAUUCAAGCCCAGUUUUCUACGAUUUUCUGCACGAGCUCAGAUUGCGCUGAUUGAUGACGUAGCCAUGGCGUCAUAAUUUUCUUUAACUGCAGGUCUAUCAUUAGAGGAUCUUCAUCACAUAAUCUGACACUGAGUACACAUGCUAUCAUAACACAGUCUGUUACAGAAUUUAACCAAUAAUCUAUUAGAAUAAUCUUGAAAUUGGACCAGAUUUAAUGACAAUAUUUACAAAAUUGAUUGACACCAUUUACAAACUCACCAAACCAUUCAGUAUCCCCUGUGCAGAGGGGCUGGCACUCCUAUGAGAAGGGAAAUGUUCAUACAAUACAAUAAUGAUCAGUCAGAAUAACUCUAUAUUGAUUUGUAAUGCUUCUCUCUAAGGGGGUAAGUGGACCCAAAGAAUGCCAGCCAAACAUCCUCUAUAAGUUUUACCUGUAUUGCCUGUCAUUAUUUACACUUGUACACUAUAAUAUUAUUUGGCAACUACAUUACACAGAUAUUCAACUGAAAUUAUUAGGAAAUGUUACUACGUUAAUAUACAAUAAGUUUAACGUGUGAAUCUCGGAGGAAUUGGUUUGAAAUUUUAACUGAGGUUCGAAGGAAAUCUAGAAUAAGGGUGAGUUGCUUGUGAGUGUAGCAGAGGAAGAGGUAACAGAAGAUAGGACUGCUGGUGGGCGGGGCUACGACUGAAAGCAGGAAGUGAAAAUGGAAAAAAAGAACGAGAGAGGGAGGGAGAGGAGAAAAUCAGAUAAAAUACUGCAAGCGGUUGAAAAGCAGAAUACAUUAUCAUCGCAAAAUAACCUCUGCCUAUUUACACUGUAGUUCACUCAGGCCUCUAAGAGAAACAGAAAGGAGGAUCUGACGAGGGGAAAUAAUUUCUGUGCACAAGAAUAAGCUCGUUUCUUGUUGCUCAUGUCUCCCCGCCCCACACCCCUCUCUCUUUCUGUCUCUCUUUAGCUGAAGCUUUGCUGCUUGCAAAAGAAGCCCAGCACUGCGAGCGCCUGACUGUGGGGGAUGGGUAACAGCACAGCACACAGCGGCUUCAGUGCAGCACACACACACAGUGCUGCUAUACUGCUGGCCUACACUAUACUCCAGUCUCAACCAGAGAAUCAAUGACUGCCUGAAGUCUGGAACCCAUGGACAUCACCAAGUGCUAAGUUUCCUCCCUUUAGAUGACCAAGCCUUUAUGGCAACUGCCUUCAGUUGCUGCUCGCUUGUGGACCUUUCUGCCUUCAGGUUUGUCUUCAGUCCCCCCUGAUUAAUGAUGGCCUCCUUCACUUGCAUCGACACCUCUUUGGACUGCAUAUUAAGAACAGCUACCAAAUGCAAAUUCAAAACCUGGAAUCAACUCCAGAGCUUUUAUCUCCUUAAUUUGUCAUGAAAUAAUGAGGAAACAGGCCAUAGCUGGCCAUGAAACUGUUUAUCAGUCGAUUGUUCAACUACCUUUGAGACUGUGAAA